GAGCAGAGGGUGGUCAGCCAGGCAGGCGGACGACCAUCCGGAAGGGACAAGGACCUGAGGGUGGGCUGGGGGGAGGGGGUUGUGGAAGGGGACAGGAACCUGGCUGAGGACCCAAUGCAACUCACAGCCCUCUACUUUAUCUGCAACUCACAGCCCUCUACUUCUACAGUGGCUCUGAUGCAUUUGUUCAUUCAAUUUGAUGAGAAUCUGGACCAGAUCCAGCAGGCCCCGCACACCUGCUCUGCAGAAUCCACCCGGCGAGUUGCUCCCCUGUGGUCCAGGACUCCACCUCGGCCGAGAAGCACUCCUCUGCAGGGACGAGGGGGUGGACACCGGGGGGAAGGCACCGAGCAGAACAGCCAGGAGGGCCCAGCCGCGCUGCCUCUGCUGCUCGUCCGGCUGGUGCCAGAGCUGGGCUGCGAGCUGACUGAAGAGCUCGUUGCGCAGCCCUGGCCGGCGCUGCCCCUGCCGCACCAGACACAGCCGCGGGGGAGCCCCAAGGGAGCACGCGCCCUGCGAGAGGAAGAGGGGCCGGUGAGGAAAACCAUCUUAAAAAUACAUCUCGGGGGGCUUCCCUGGUGGCGCAGCGGUUAAGAACUCGCCUGCCAGUGUAGGAGGCACGGGUUCGAGCCGUGGUCAGGGAAGAUCCCACAUGCCGCGGAGCAGCUAAGUCUGUGCACCACAACUGCUGAGCCUGCGCUCUCUAGAGCCCGCGAGCCACAACUACUGAAGCCCGCGUGCCUAGAGCCCGUGCUCCGCAACAAGAGAAGCCACCGCAAUGAGAAGCCCGCACACUGCAACGAAGAGUAGCCCCCGCUCACCGCAAAUAGAGAAAGCUGCGUGCAGCAACAAAGACCCAAUGCAGCCAAAAAUAAAUAAAUAAAUAAAUUUAUUAAAAGAAAAAUACAUCUUGGGACUUCCCUGGUGGUCCAGCGGUUAAAAGUCCCACGCUCCCAAUGCAGGGGGCUGGGGUUUGAUCCCUGGUCAGGGAACUAGAUCCUGCAUGCCACAACUAAAAAGGGUCCCGCAUGCUGCAACUAAAGAUCCUGCACAGGCAACGAAGAUCCCGUGUGCCGCAGCUAAGACCUGGCGCAGCCAAAUAAAUAAAUAAAUAUUAAGAAAAAAAAACCUCUCAAUCACUCCUUCUGAUUAGAAAACUAAAGCUCGUGCAUGCGGAAAACUCAGAAAACACGGAAAAGGGUGAAGAAUAAAAACCACCAUUAACAUUCCACUGCCAGAUAAAACCACAG
Molecule: long non-coding RNA, 1250 nt
Filed under: Monodon monoceros (narwhal)
Lineage: Eukaryota; Metazoa; Chordata; Mammalia; Artiodactyla; Monodontidae
Description: lncRNA (ENSMMNG00015020891.1)
Source: RNAcentral